ACUCUUUCGGGAGGCAGCAGUAGGGAAUCUUCCACAAUGGACGCAAGUCUGAUGGAGCAACGCCGCGUGAGUGAAGAAGGGUUUCGGCUCGUAAAGCUCUGUUGUUGGUGAGAGGACAGGGGUAGUAACUGACCUUUGUUUGACGGUAAUCAAUUAGAAAGUCACGGCUAACUACGUGCCAGCAGCCGCGGUAAUAC
RNAcentral lists this ribosomal RNA (197 nucleotides) under uncultured Lactobacillus sp. RNAcentral's name for it is "partial 16S ribosomal RNA". It matches the Rfam family "Bacterial small subunit ribosomal RNA", at positions 335 to 526 of the family's 1533-position model. The record is from RNAcentral. Lineage: Bacteria; Bacillati; Bacillota; Bacilli; Lactobacillales; Lactobacillaceae.